CGUCGACGGAGGUGCCGGUGGCCUCGGCGGCGCUGGCGGCGACGCCGGGGCGGGGGGCGCAAGCGGUCAGUUCGGCACCGGCGGAGGCGAC
RNAcentral lists this transfer RNA (91 nucleotides) under Mycobacterium bourgelatii. RNAcentral describes it as "tRNA-Ala". The record is from RNAcentral. Lineage: Bacteria; Bacillati; Actinomycetota; Actinomycetes; Mycobacteriales; Mycobacteriaceae.